AUUGAACGCUGGCGGCAGGCUUAACACAUGCAAGUCGAACGCAUCCUUCGGGGUGAGUGGCAGACGGGUGAGUAACGCGUGGGAACGUGCCCUUCAGUUCGGGAUAACCCAGGGAAACUUGGGCUAAUACCGGAUACGUGCGAGAGCAGAAAGAUUUAUCGCUGAAGGAUCGGCCCGCGUCUGAUUAGCUAGUUGGUGGGGUAAUGGCCCACCAAGGCGACGAUCAGUAGCUGGUCUGAGAGGGUGAUCAGCCACAUUGGGACUGAGACACGGCCCAAACUCCUACGGGAGGCAGCAGUGGGGAAUAUUGGACAAUGGGCGCAAGCCUGAUCCAGCCAUGCCGCGUGAGUGAUGAAGGCCUUAGGGUUGUAAAGCUCUUUCGUCCGGGACGAUAAUGACGGUACCGGAAGAAGAAGCCCCGGCUAACUUCGUGCCAGCCGCCGCAGUAA
RNAcentral lists this ribosomal RNA (449 nucleotides) under uncultured bacterium. RNAcentral's name for it is "partial 16S ribosomal RNA". It matches the Rfam family "Bacterial small subunit ribosomal RNA", at positions 30 to 523 of the family's 1533-position model. The record is from RNAcentral.